RNAcentral lists this ribosomal RNA (320 nucleotides) under uncultured eukaryote. Its description in RNAcentral is "partial 18S ribosomal RNA". It matches the Rfam family "Eukaryotic small subunit ribosomal RNA", at positions 1470 to 1796 of the family's 1831-position model. The record is from RNAcentral.
CCCUUAGAUGUUCUGGGCCGCACGCGCGCUACACUGAACAGUUCAACAAGUCUUAACCUUGGCCGAUAGGUCUGGGUAAUCUUUGAACGCUGUUCGUGACUGGGAUAGACCUUUGCAAUUAUGGGUCUUCAACGAGGAAUUCCUAGUAAACGCAAGUCAUCAGCUUGCAUUGAUUACGUCCCUGCCCUUUGUACACACCGCCCGUCGCACCUACCGAUUGAAUGGUCCGGUGAAAUCUCGGGACGGCGGCUUGGUCGCUUGCGUCCGACUGCUGAAACUUGAUUAAACCAUAUCAUUUAGAGGAAGGUGAAGUCGUAACA